Sinocyclocheilus grahami is the source of this 256-nucleotide long non-coding RNA. RefSeq lists it as uncharacterized. The transcript has 4 exons. Lineage: Eukaryota; Metazoa; Chordata; Actinopteri; Cypriniformes; Cyprinidae. The record is from RefSeq and is a predicted model, not a curated record.
GUCUCUUUUGUAGCACCAAGAAUGCAAGAAUGGAGUCAUGAACAUAAUUCAAGUGUGGAUCAACACCAACAUGAAUCAGCCUGGACAGCCAGUGACAAUGGAAGCUGGACAGAUACCCAAAGACAAAAUUCGAUCAGUUGCCCCACAUUUACAAGAUGGUUCAUUGGACCUCUUCUCAUAAUUUUAAUUUUACCUGCCUGCUGCACAUCAUUCUCUGUCCCCGGAUUGUCUGCCUGGUUUUGACUUGUGCCUGCCA